GACCGGUUAGCUCAGUUGGUAGAGCAUCGGACUUUUAAUCCGGUGGUCCUGGGUUCAAGUCCCAGACCGGUCA
RNAcentral lists this transfer RNA (73 nucleotides) under Candidatus Poribacteria bacterium. RNAcentral describes it as "tRNA-Lys". It matches the Rfam family "tRNA". From Rfam's summary of the family: Transfer RNA (tRNA) molecules are approximately 80 nucleotides in length. Their secondary structure includes four short double-helical elements and three loops (D, anti-codon, and T loops). Further hydrogen bonds mediate the characteristic L-shaped molecular structure. tRNAs have two regions of fundamental functional importance: the anti-codon, which is responsible for specific mRNA codon recognition, and the 3' end, to which the tRNAs corresponding amino acid is attached (by aminoacyl-tRNA synthetases). tRNAs cope with the degeneracy of the genetic code in two manners: having more than one tRNA (with a specific anti-codon) for a particular amino acid; and 'wobble' base-pairing, i.e. permitting non-standard base-pairing at the 3rd anti-codon position. Lineage: Bacteria; Candidatus Poribacteria. The record is from RNAcentral.